UGCCCAAUUUGCUUCUAAUUUUCAGACAUUUAACGGUCAUAUGUCUUCUAUAAAUUGGCAAAAAGGCGCGUUUGUACCUAUUCUAGUUUAAACAUGACGAAUCUUUAAAAGUGAUUCUGCUUGAUAGCUAUAUGAGAUACUUUCAAGCGCAAGUUCGUUAAUUUCUGGAAAAUAAUUCUGUGGUCCGAUUUGUUUGAGAUUAUCAGAACUUCAACAGCCAGACCUCUUCUAUAGAUGAGCAAAAAGACACGUUUGUACCUGUUCUAGUUUAAGCAUAAGGGAUUUUUAGAAGCAACUCUGUUUGAGAACUAUAUGAAAUACUAUCAAGCGCAAGUUCGUUAAUUUCUGGAAAAUAGCUCUGUAGUCCGAUUUUUUUGAAAUUAUCAGAACUUUAACAGCCAGACCUCUUCUAUAGAUGGGCAAAAAGACACGUUUGUACCUGUUCUAGUUUAAACAUGACGAAUCGCUAAAAGCGAUUCUGCUUGAUAGCUAUAUGAGAUACUAUCAAGCGCAAAUUCGGUAAUUUCUGGAAAAUAGUUCUGUGGUCCGAUUUGUUUGAUAUUAUCAAAACUUCAACAGCCAGAUUUCUUCUACAGAUGAGCAAAAAUACACGUUUGUACCUGUUCUAGAUUAAACAUAAGGAAUUUUUAGAAGCAAUUCUGUUUGAGAGCUAUAUGAACUAAUAUCAAGCGACAGUUAGUUCAUUCCUGGAAAAUAUUCCUUUCACCUAAUUUGCUUCUAAUUUUCAGAAAUUCAACAAUCAGAUGUCUUCUAUAGAUGGGCAAAGAGACACGUGCGUACCUGUUCUAGUUUAAAGAUAAGGAAUUUUUAGAAGCAAUUCUGUUUCAGAGCUAUAUGAAACACUAUCAAGCGCCAGUUAGUUAAUUCUUGGAAAAUAUUCCUUUCGCCCAAUUUGCUUCUAACUUUCAGACAUUCAACGGUCAGAUGUCUUCUAUAAAUGGGCAAAAAGGCGCGUUUGUAUCUCUUCUAGUUUAAACAUGACGAAUCUUUAAAAGCGAUUCUGCUUGAUAGCUAUAUGAGAUACUAUCCAGCGCAAGUUCGUUAAUUUCUGGAAAAUAGCUCUGUAGUCCGAUUCUUUUGAAAUUAGCAGAACUUCAACAGUGAUCUCUUCUAUAGGUGGACAAAGAGACACGUUUCUACCUGCUCUAUUCGUCAAUUCUCAAGCUGGAAUGCUACUCAGAAUUAGUCAGUUUUCCGUUUCUACGUUCUGGGCAUUAACGGGAUUUUUUUCAGAAUAAUUUCAAUGGCAAUCAAUCCAUUGACUGAACAGCAUUAUCAUCGGCGGCAUUAUCUAAUCGCAUUUGUCGCAUUACAAGCGCAAAUAGUUAUCAAGGGCAACCGGUUUUCUUGUCUCGAAACUCGCCACCAAUAAAACUAAAACAACCAUCUUACUUGUAAACGGGCAACAUAAUGGGAAGAGGAUGGGCGAGAUGAGGGGCCUG
Long non-coding RNA from Dendroctonus ponderosae (mountain pine beetle), 1463 nucleotides. RefSeq lists it as uncharacterized. The record is from RefSeq and is a predicted model, not a curated record. NCBI's taxonomy places the organism in Eukaryota, Metazoa, Arthropoda, Insecta, Coleoptera, Curculionidae. The transcript is spliced from 2 exons.